UGAUUGUAGAGAAAGCGACGCAGAGUCCAGGCCACCACUUGAGCACACGGAAUGCUAAUGUUUAAGCGUGUAACAAGGUCAGUCUCAAUAGAGAUUUUAUGGCCUAGUUUUUAGAACACUAAUAUUUUAGAAACAGUAAAAAAAAAUUUAUUCCCAUAAAACUAUAUCUACUCUCAUGAAACUCUCAUCAUCUCUCUCUUCAUCAAUAUAGUAUCACGUCAGUAUAUUUAAUAUGCAUGAAACUUUCAUAAAACCUCCAUUGAGACUAGCUUAAGAUUGUCUCCAACAACCGUGACUUAAAAUAUAAGACCUAUUUGUCCUUUGGAUAGUGUUACAAGCAAAUAGUUUAGUACUUUUUUUUGUCUUCUCCAACAAUAAAACCCAAAAGACAACUCUUUUUGCAAAUGAAUAUGCCUCUCAUGACACCCAAAAUAAGUCUUUUAUAUAGUCACUCUGUUAGAUUCUAUAGAUAUUGCGUUAGAAACCCAUUUUAAAUUUGGAUUUCGUAAUAUGUCUCUGGUUGGAGACAGUCUAACCUGAGCUUGACAAACCAUGUGUGUGUUUGGCACAUCGAGGCACACAUAGGCCUUGUUUAGUUAACCCCGAAAUUCAAAAAGUUUUCAAGAUUUCCUGCCACAUCGAAUCUUGCGGCACAUGCAUGAAGCAUCAAAUAUAGACGAAAACAGGACAAUAUUUACCACAAACAAACGAAAAUGCUACAGUAGCAAAAUCCAAAAAUUUUCACAUGCCAUCGUUAAUUUGAGUAAAACUAGAGGUUCCCUCAUAUAUAAAAAACAUAAUUUGUUUCGUUAUUCAGAAUAUCACUUUUUUUUUCUUUUUUUUCUUGUUUAGUUGCACGCAAAAAUCAAAAGUUUUUUAAGAUUUUCUGUCGCAUCGAAUCCUACAGUACAUGGAUGAAACAUUCAAUAUAGAUAAAAAAUAACUAACUAUACAAUUUACCUGUAAUUUACGAGAUAAAUCUUUUGAGUCUAGUUAGUUCAUAAUUGAAUAAUAAUUAACAAAUACAAAUCAUCUAAACCAGGCCUGCGUAUGUGUGUUUACAAAACUUUCGUUUUUGCGAGAUAAUAGGGUCUGCUUAUGUGUGUGUACAAAAACUUUUUAGAUUUGGACGCUCUAGUAGUUUCGUUUGUAUUUUGUAAUUAUUAUUUAAUUAUAAACUAACUAGGUUUAAAAAAUUAAUCAUAUAAUUACAUGUAAACUAUGUAAUUAGUUAUUUUUAAUGUACAUUUAAUACUUCAUGUAUAUGCCGCAAGAUCCGAUGUGAUAGAAAUUUUGAAUAAAAAUUAUAACUUUUUUUUAGAACUAAAGGCCUAAACAAGGCCGUCUGUCACAGUCAAUAGUCAUGGGCAAAGGUUUGCUUCUCUCGCACCCACGAAAAAUGUCCUGUUUUUUUUUUUGGUAACGUGGAAGCCCCUCUCGUCUUCUUCUUGUCUUUCUCGAUCUCGAGGUUGGUUUUUGAUGACUACAGCAACAAAGGUAUUAGAUUUAGGCCCUGUUUAGUUACUCACCUAAAAUUUUUUCAUCCAUCCCGUCGAAUCUUUAGACACGUACAUAAAACACUAAAUGUAGAUAAAAAAAUAAACUAAUAACACAGUUUGGUUGAAAAUCGCGAGACCAAUUUUUUAAGCCUAGUUACUCCAUGAUUAGCCUUAAGUGCUACAGUAACCCACAUGUGCUAAUGAUAGAUUAAUUAUACUUAAUAGAUUUGUCUUGCAGUUUUCUGACGAGCUAUGUAAUUUGUUUUUUUAUUAGUUUCUAAAAACCCUUUCCGACAUCCUUUUCGACGUAUCCGAUGUGACACCCAAAAAAUUUUCAUCCUCAAUCUAAACAGAGCCUUAGGAGUCAAGAUGGCAACGGGUACCCGAAACCCGAGUACCCGACGGGUUUUACCCGAUAAAGAGACGGGUAUGGAAUGAAUUUUCUACCCGUGGAUAUGUUAUUGGGCAAAAUCCU
Molecule: long non-coding RNA, 1974 nt
Filed under: Sorghum bicolor (sorghum)
Lineage: Eukaryota; Viridiplantae; Streptophyta; Magnoliopsida; Poales; Poaceae
Description: long non-coding RNA (SBIC_LNC003551)
Source: RNAcentral